Molecule: ribosomal RNA, 253 nt
Filed under: uncultured prokaryote
Description: partial 16S ribosomal RNA
Rfam family: Bacterial small subunit ribosomal RNA
Source: RNAcentral
ACAGAGGGUGCGAGCGUUGUCCGGAAUUACUGGGCGUAAAGGGCGCGUAGGCGGCUUGGUGAGUCGGGGGUGAAAGUCAGCGGCUCAACCGCUGGACUGCCUUCGAGACUGCCUGGCUUGAGCAUGGUAGAGGCUGGCGGAAUUCCCGGUGUAGCGGUGGAAUGCGUAGAGAUCGGGAAGAACAUCGGUGGCGAAGGCGGCCAGCUGGGCCAUUGCUGACGCUGAUGCGCGACAGCGUGGGGAGCAAACAGGA